GACCAAGGGUUCCUGUCCAACGUUAAUCGGGGCAGGGUGAGUCGACCCCUAAGGCGAGGCCGAAAGGCGUAGUCGAUGGGAAACAGGUUAAUAUUCCUGUACUUGGUGUUACUGCGAAGGGGGGACGGAGAAGGCUAUGUUAGCCGGGCGACGGUUGUCCCGGUUUAAGCAUGUAGGCUGAUUGUCCAGGCAAAUCCGGAUAAUCAAGGCUGAGGUGUGAUGACGAGGCACUACGGUGCUGAAGUAACAAAUGCCCUGCUUCCAGGAAAAGCCUCUAAGCAUCAGGUAACAUUAAAUCGUACCCCAAACCGACACAGGUGGUCAGGUAGAGAAUACCAAGGCGCUUGAGAGAACUCGGGUGAAGGAACUAGGCAAAAUGGUGCCGUAACUUCGGGAGAAGGCACGCUGGUGUGUAGGUGAAGUCCCUGCGGAUGGAGCUGAGACCAGUCGAAGAUACCAGCUGGCUGCAACUGUUUAUUAAAAACACAGCACUGUGCAAACACGAAAGUGGACGUAUACGGUGUGACGCCUGCCCGGUGCCGGAAGGUUAAUUGAUGGGGUUAUCCGUAAGGAGAAGCUCUUGAUCGAAGCCCCGGUAAACGGCGGCCGUAACUAUAACGGUCCUAAGGUAGCGAAAUUCCUUGUCGGGUAAGUUCCGACCUGCACGAAUGGCGUAAUGAUGGCCAGGCUGUCUCCACCCGAGACUCAGUGAAAUUGAACUCGCUGUGAAGAUGCAGUGUACCCGCGGCAAGACGGAAAGACCCCGUGAACCUUUACUAUAGCUUGACACUGAACAUUGAGCCUUGAUGUGUAGGAUAGGUGGGAGGCUUUGAAGCGUGGACGCCAGUCUGCGUGGAGCCAACCUUGAAAUACCACCCUUUAAUGUUUGAUGUUCUAACGUUGGCCCCUGACCGGGGUUGCGGACAGUGUCUGGUGGGUAGUUUGACUGGGGCGGUCUCCUCCCAAAGCGUAACGGAGGAGCACGAAGGUUAGCUAAUCCUGGUCGGACAUCAGGAGGUUAGUGCAAUGGCAUAAGCUAGCUUGACUGCGAGCGUGACGGCGCGAGCAGGUGCGAAAGCAGGUCAUAGUGAUCCGGUGGUUCUGAAUGGAAGGGCCAUCGCUCAACGGAUAAAAGGUACUCCGGGGAUAACAGGCUGAUACCGCCCAAGAGUUCAUAUCGACGGCGGUGUUUGGCACCUCGAUGUCGGCUCAUCACAUCCUGGGGCUGAAGUAGGUCCCAAGGGUAUGGCUGUUCGCCAUUUAAAGUGGUACGCGAGCUGGGUUUAGAACGUCGUGAGACAGUUCGGUCCCUAUCUGCCGUGGGCGCUGGAGAAUUGAGGGGGGCUGCUCCUAGUACGAGAGGACCGGAGUGGACGCAUCACUGGUGUUCGGGUUGUCAUGCCAAUGGCACUGCCCGGUAGCUAAAUGCGGAAGAGAUAAGUGCUGAAAGCAUCUAAGCACGAAACUUGCCCCGAGAUGAGUUCUCCCUGAGACUUUAAGUCUCCUGAAGGAACGUUAAAGACGAUGACGUUGAUAGGCCGGGUGUGUAAGCGCAGCGAUGCGUUGAGCUAACCGGUACUAAUGAACCGUGAGGCUUAACCUU
Molecule: ribosomal RNA, 1603 nt
Filed under: Klebsiella pneumoniae
Lineage: Bacteria; Pseudomonadati; Pseudomonadota; Gammaproteobacteria; Enterobacterales; Enterobacteriaceae
Description: bacterial LSU rRNA
Rfam family: Bacterial large subunit ribosomal RNA
Source: RNAcentral